Molecule: long non-coding RNA, 477 nt
Organism: Thamnophis elegans (Western terrestrial garter snake)
Lineage: Eukaryota; Metazoa; Chordata; Lepidosauria; Squamata; Natricidae
Exons: 3
Source: RefSeq, a predicted model, not a curated record
GAGAGUGAAGGGAGCGGAAGGCUUGGAUCCUUGUAAGCGAGUGGGCAAGAGGUAACCGGAGGGGUCUUUGAGCUGAGCCCUCCAUCCACUUUGGGGGGUGGGCGCCCCAACAGAGAAGUCCUCGAUCGCAGCAAGGUUGCGUUUAGCGCCAAAAAGAAAUUAUAUUGAUGGCUAGCCUUAUCUGAAGACCUUUGUUCUUCCUCACUGAAGUCAAUGGGACAAUAAACAGGAGUAUGGAGACCCCGCUCUCUAAUGCUGGGAAAGGUGGAAGGAAUGGGGAGGAGAGGUUGACCAGCAGGAAAAUGGAUGGACUCAGUUACAGUGAUGAUGAGCUGCUCAAUGGUGUUCUUUUGAUCUCCCAAUCAACAUCCUGAGAUUACCUGAUCAUCCCAUACAGGUCUGACUUUUCUUAUUUUUUUUAAGAUCAGCCAAGAUUUGCAAGCUGACAUUACCUCCACCACCAACUAUAAUAACAAA